Molecule: ribosomal RNA, 207 nt
Filed under: uncultured bacterium
Lineage: Bacteria
Description: partial 16S ribosomal RNA
Rfam family: Bacterial small subunit ribosomal RNA
Source: RNAcentral
CGCGCAGGCGGUGAACGAAGUCGAAAGUGAAAGCCCCGGGCUCAACUCGGGAACAGCUUCCGAAACCAGUUCACUUGAAGGCGGAAGAGGGAAGUGGAAUUCCGGGUGUAGUGGUGGAAUGCGUAGAUAUCCGGAAGAACACCAGAGGCGAAGGCGACUUCCUGGUCCGAUCUUGACGCUGAGGCGCGAAAGCUAGGGGAGCAAACG